UGUUUCGGCUAGGGGGUCAUCCCGACUUACCAACCCGAUGCAAACUACGAAUACCGAAGAAUGUUAUCACGGGAGACACACGGCGGGUGCUAACGUCCGUCGUGAAGAGGGAAACAACCCAGACCGCCAGCUAAGGUCCCAAAGUCAUGGUUAAGUGGGAAACGAUGUGGGAAGGCACAGACAGCCAGGAUGUUGGCUUAGAAGCAGCCAUCAUUUAAAGAAAGCGUAAUAGCUCACUGGUCGAGUCGGCCUGCGCGGAAGAUGUAACGGGGCUAAACCAUGCACCGAAGCUGCGGCAGCGACACUAUGUGUUGUUGGGUAGGGGAGCGUUCUGUAAGCCUGCGAAGGUGUGCUGUGAGGCAUGCUGGAGGUAUCAGAAGUGCGAAUGCUGACAUAAGUAACGAUAAAGCGGGUGAAAAGCCCGCUCGCCGGAAGACCAAGGGUUCCUGUC
Molecule: ribosomal RNA, 451 nt
Filed under: Klebsiella pneumoniae
Lineage: Bacteria; Pseudomonadati; Pseudomonadota; Gammaproteobacteria; Enterobacterales; Enterobacteriaceae
Description: partial 23S ribosomal RNA
Rfam family: Bacterial large subunit ribosomal RNA
Source: RNAcentral